GAUGAACGCUGGCGGCGUGCUUAACACAUGCAAGUCGAACGAAGCAUUUGCGACAGAUUUUUUCGGAAUGAAGUUGCUUAUGACUGAGUGGCGGACGGGUGAGUAACGCGUGGGUAACCUGCCUUGUACUGGGGGAUAGCAGCUGGAAACGGCUGGUAAUACCGCAUAAGCGCACAAUGUUGCAUGACAUGGUGUGAAAAACUCCGGUGGUAUAAGAUGGACCCGCGUCUGAUUAGCUAGUUGGUGAGAUAACAGCCCACCAAGGCGACGAUCAGUAGCCGACCUGAGAGGGUGACCGGCCACAUUGGGACUGAGACACGGCCCAGACUCCUACGGGAGGCAGCAGUGGGGAGUAUUGCACAAUGGAGGAAACUCUGAUGCAGCGACGCCGCGUGAGUGAAGAAGUAAUUCGUUAUGUAAAGCUCUAUCAGCAGGGAAGAUAGUGACGGUACCUGACGAAGAAGCGCCGGCUAAAUACGUG
RNAcentral lists this ribosomal RNA (481 nucleotides) under uncultured bacterium. Its description in RNAcentral is "partial 16S ribosomal RNA". It matches the Rfam family "Bacterial small subunit ribosomal RNA", at positions 28 to 507 of the family's 1533-position model. The record is from RNAcentral.